UACGUAUGGUGCAAGCGUUAUCCGGAUUUACUGGGUGUAAAGGGAGCGCAGGCGGCUCGUCAAGUCUGAUGUGAAAUCCCGGGGCUCAACCCCGGAACUGCAUUGGAAACUGGUGAGCUAGAGUGUCGGAGAGGUAAGUGGAAUUCCUAGUGUAGCGGUGAAAUGCGUAGAUAUUAGGAGGAACACCAGUGGCGAAGGCGGCUUACUGGACGAUAACUGACGCUGAGGCUCGAAAGCGUGGGGAGCAAACAGG
Molecule: ribosomal RNA, 253 nt
Filed under: uncultured bacterium
Lineage: Bacteria
Description: partial 16S ribosomal RNA
Rfam family: Bacterial small subunit ribosomal RNA
Source: RNAcentral